This 731-nucleotide ribosomal RNA is filed under the name uncultured bacterium. RNAcentral describes it as "bacterial SSU rRNA". It matches the Rfam family "Bacterial small subunit ribosomal RNA", at positions 36 to 744 of the family's 1533-position model. The record is from RNAcentral.
UGAGCGGCGCGCCUAACACAUGCAAGUCGCACGAGAAAGGGCUUCGGCCCCAGUAAAGUGGCGCACGGGUGCGUAACACGUAGGCAAUCUACCAUUAGGCGGGGGAUAACGUUCCGAAAGGGACGCUAAUACCGCAUGAGACCACGGACGCUUCGGCGACUGCGGUCAAAGCUGGCCUCUUCAUGAAAGCUAGCACCUAAGGACGAACCUGCGGCCCAUCAUGCUAGUUGGUAGGGUAAUGGCCUACCAAGGCGAAGACGGGUAGCUGGUCUGAGAGGAUGAUCAGCCACACUGGCACUGAAACACGGGCCAGACUCCUACGGGAGGCAGCAGUGGGGAAUAUUGGACAAUGGGCGCAAGCCUGAUCCAGCGACGCCGCGUGAGUGAUGAAGGCCUUCGGGUUGUAAAGCUCUGUUGAGGGAGAAGAAAACAGGUGGUUCAAAUAGGGCCAUCUCUUGACGGUAUCCCUUUAGAAAGCACCGGCUAACUCUGUGCCAGCAGCCGCGGUAAGACAGAGGGUGCAAACGUUGCUCGGAAUUACUGGGCGUAAAGCGCGUGUAGGCGGGCUGAUAAGUCGGACGUGAAAUCCCUGGGCUCAACCCAGGAACUGCAUCCGAAACUGUCAGUCUGGAGUGGUGGAGAGGGAAGCAGAAUUCCUGGUGUAGAGGUGAAAUUCGUAGAUAUCAGGAGGAACCCCGGUGGCGAAGGCGGCUUCCUGGACACUAACUGAC